RNAcentral lists this ribosomal RNA (482 nucleotides) under uncultured bacterium. RNAcentral's name for it is "partial 16S ribosomal RNA". It matches the Rfam family "Bacterial small subunit ribosomal RNA", at positions 30 to 507 of the family's 1533-position model. The record is from RNAcentral.
AUUGAACGCUGGCGGCAUGCCUUACACAUGCAAGUCGGACGGUAACGGGCCUUCGGGUGCCGACGAGUGGCGAACGGGUGAGUAAUACAUCGGAACGUGCCCGAUCGUGGGGGAUAACGAGGCGAAAGCUUUGCUAAUACCGCACACGAUCUACGGAUGAAAGCAGGGGACCGCAAGGCCUUGCGCGGACGGAGCGGCCGAUGGCAGAUUAGGUAGUUGGUGGGAUAAAAGCUUACCAAGCCGACGAUCUGUAGCUGGUCUGAGAGGAUGAUCAGCCACACUGGGACUGAGACACGGCCCAGACUCCUACGGGAGGCAGCAGUGGGGAAUUUUGGACAAUGGGCGCAAGCCUGAUCCAGCCAUGCCGCGUGCAGGAUGAAGGCCUUCGGGUUGUAAACUGCUUUUGUACGGAACGAAAAGCCUUCUUUUAAUACAGGAGGGUCAUGACGGUACCGUAAGAAUAAGCACCGGCUAACUACGUG